UUUCCGUAGGUGAACCUGCGGAAGGAUCAUUAACAAAUCUAUUGAGUGCAGCAGUCCUAGCGACUGCAUGCACACAUAAGCCCUAAAGCGUAGCACUUCGGUGUGACCGCUUAGUGUGUUUGGAGGAGUCGAUUUUUUCGAUUCCUCCACAGGUCAUCCUUCUGGGUGACCACAUUGACGCUUGUAUGUUUGACAGAGUUUAUUAUGACAAUAAAAAUAGACAACUUUUAACAAUGGAUCUCUUGGCUCUU
This 251-nucleotide unclassified non-coding RNA is filed under the name plant metagenome. RNAcentral describes it as "partial contains small subunit ribosomal RNA, internal transcribed spacer 1, and 5.8S ribosomal RNA". The record is from RNAcentral.